GACGAACGCUGGCGGCGUGCUUAACACAUGCAAGUCGAACGGAAAGGCCCUGCUUUUGUGGGGUGCUCGAGUGGCGAACGGGUGAGUAACACGUGUGUAACCUGCCCUUGACUUUGGGAUAACUUCAGGAAAAUGGGGCUAAUACCGGAUAGGAGCUCCUGCUGCAUGGUGGGGGUUGGAAAGUUUCGGCGGUUGGGGAUGGACUCGCGGCUUAUCAGCUUGUUGGUGGGGUAGUGGCUUACCAAGGCUUUGACGGGUAGCCGGCCUGAGAGGGUGACCGGCCACAUUGGGACUGAGAUACGGCCCAGACGCCUACGGGAGGCAGCAGUGGGGAAUAUUGCACAAUGGGCGGAAGCCUGAUGCAGCAACGCCGCGUGCGGGAUGACGGCCUUCGGGUUGUAAACCGCUUUCGCCUGUGACGAAGCGGGAGUGACGGUAAUGGGUAAAGAAGCACCGGCUAACUACGUG
RNAcentral lists this ribosomal RNA (468 nucleotides) under uncultured bacterium. RNAcentral's name for it is "partial 16S ribosomal RNA". It matches the Rfam family "Bacterial small subunit ribosomal RNA", at positions 28 to 507 of the family's 1533-position model. The record is from RNAcentral.